UCCCUGUGCACAAAAUUAGACUGAGUUUGCAUUGUUGUAGUUGUGACAUUAUUGACAUCAGCUUGCUGUGGAACAGAUUGACUGUCAUUCUUAACAGGUUGGAAAGCUCCCGAUGGGUACAAACAGUUGACUGUUGAUGCCAUUGCUGACUUGUUAUUAGUAACUACGGACUUGGAAAAUGCAUUAUUAGUAGUGGACCCCAUGUCAAUAUUAUUGCUAUCUCCAUUUGAG
This 231-nucleotide unclassified non-coding RNA is filed under the name Hevea brasiliensis (rubber tree). The record is from RNAcentral. Lineage: Eukaryota; Viridiplantae; Streptophyta; Magnoliopsida; Malpighiales; Euphorbiaceae.